This is a long non-coding RNA of Myodes glareolus (Bank vole), 347 nucleotides long. RefSeq lists it as uncharacterized. Lineage: Eukaryota; Metazoa; Chordata; Mammalia; Rodentia; Cricetidae. The record is from RefSeq and is a predicted model, not a curated record.
CCAUAGAACUGCCACAGAGCCGCCAGAGUCAGACAUGCUGAAUCUUUACUGCCUUUACAAGGCAUUUAUUUCUAACGACUGUGUUAUCGGUAACUUUGAAAACUGUGAGUAAGCUACUCCACCUACUGGGCAUCUCUUAAAUUACACCAAAGGAUCUAAGGAAGGCGGACAGCGACUUUGGAGAUGAUCUUUAAGAUGCUGGAGCUCAUAAACAUACUCCAUUCCACUUGCCCACUUCGUUCUGAGUGCUGCAAGUGUUUCGCCACUGUGUAUUUCUCUUGUUUACUACCGAGAUCUCAGAAAAUGAUGAUCUCAGCUUUUACUUAAUACUUUUCUAUCUUCCCUUC